RNAcentral lists this microRNA (21 nucleotides) under Physcomitrium patens. RNAcentral's name for it is "ppt-miR1059". The record is from miRBase by way of RNAcentral. Lineage: Eukaryota; Viridiplantae; Streptophyta; Bryopsida; Funariales; Funariaceae.
UGAAAGUCCUUCACAAACAAC